Molecule: ribosomal RNA, 188 nt
Filed under: uncultured bacterium
Lineage: Bacteria
Description: partial 16S ribosomal RNA
Rfam family: Bacterial small subunit ribosomal RNA
Source: RNAcentral
CCUACGGGAGGCAGCAGUGAGGAAUAUUGGACAAUGGGCGCAAGCCUGAUCCAGCCAUGCCGCGUGCAGGAUGACGGUCCUAUGGAUUGUAAACUGCUUUUAUACAGGAAGAAACACUGGUUCGUGAACCAGCUUGACGGUACUGUAAGAAUAAGGAUCGGCUAACUCCGUGCCAGCAGCCGCGGUAA